RNAcentral lists this ribosomal RNA (509 nucleotides) under uncultured Eubacteriales bacterium. RNAcentral describes it as "bacterial SSU rRNA". It matches the Rfam family "Bacterial small subunit ribosomal RNA", at positions 1 to 507 of the family's 1533-position model. The record is from RNAcentral. Lineage: Bacteria; Bacillati; Bacillota; Clostridia; Eubacteriales.
CGUAAGAGUUUGUAUCCUCGGCUACAGGAUGAACGCUGGCGGCGUGCCUAACACAUGCAAGUCGAACGAAGCGCUGGGGCGGAAUUUCUUCGGAAAGGAAGCCCCUGUGACUGAGUGGCGGACGGGUGAGUAACGCGUGGACAACCUACCCCGCACUGGGGGACAACAGCCGGAAACGGCUGCUAAUACCGCAUAUGCGCACGGCCCCGCAUGGGGCUGUGCGGAAAGCCCAGGCGGUGCGGGAUGGGUCCGCGUCUGAUUAGCUUGUUGGCGGGGUAACGGCCCACCAAGGCGACGAUCAGUAGCCGGCCUGAGAGGGUGGGCGGCCACAUUGGGACUGAGACACGGCCCAGACUCCUACGGGAGGCAGCAGUGGGGGGAUAUUGCACAAUGGGGGCAACCCUGAUGCAGCGACGCCGCGUGAGCGAUGGAGUACUUCGGUAUGUAAAGCUCUGUCAGCAGGGAAGACAUUGACGGUACCUGACCAAGAAGCCCCGGCUAAAUACGUG